This 127-nucleotide small RNA is filed under the name Marmota monax (woodchuck). Lineage: Eukaryota; Metazoa; Chordata; Mammalia; Rodentia; Sciuridae. The record is from RNAcentral.
GCUGGGCAUGGUGGGGCAUACCUGUAAUCCCAGUGGCUUGGGAGGCUGAGGCAGGAGCAUUGAAAGUUCAAAGUCAGCCUCAGCGACUUAGAGAGUUCCUCAACAAUUUAGCAAGACCCUGCCUCAA